UACGUAGGGGGCAAGCGUUGUCCGGAAUUAUUGGGCGUAAAGAGCGUGUAGGCGGCCAGAUAAGUCCGCUGUGAAAUCUCGAGGCUCAACUUCGAGCUGUCGGUGGAAACUAUCUGGCUAGAGUCCGGAAGAGGAGAAUGGAAUUCCUGGUGUAGCGGUGAAAUGCGCAGAUAUCAGGAGGAACACCGAUGGCGAAGGCAGCUCGCUGGGACGGUACUGACGCUGAGGCGCGAAAGCGUGGGGAGCGAACAGG
RNAcentral lists this ribosomal RNA (253 nucleotides) under uncultured bacterium. RNAcentral's name for it is "partial 16S ribosomal RNA". It matches the Rfam family "Bacterial small subunit ribosomal RNA", at positions 524 to 776 of the family's 1533-position model. The record is from RNAcentral.